AUGCACGCUGGCGGCGUGCCUCAUCCCUGCCAGUCGAGCGAACAGACGAGGAGCUUGCUCCUCUGACGUUAGCGGCGGACGGGUGAGUAACACGUGGAUAACCUACCUAUAAGACUGGGAUAACUUCGGGAAACCGGAGCUAAUACCGGAUAAUAUAUUGAACCGCAUGGUUCAAUAGUGAAAGACGGUUUUGCUGUCACUUAUAGAUGGAUCCGCGCCGCAUUAGCUAGUUGGUAAGGUAACGGCUUACCAAGGCAACGAUGCGUAGCCGACCUGAGAGGGUGAUCGGCCACACUGGAACUGAGACACGGUCCAGACUCUUACGGGAGGCAGCAGUGGGGAAUCUUCCGCAAUGGGCGAAAGCCUGACGGAGCAACGCCGCGUGAGUGAUGAAGGUCUUCGGAUCGUAAAACUCUGUUAUUAGGGAAGAACAAAUGUGUAAGUAACUAUGCACGUCUUGACGGUACCUAAUCAGAAAGCCACGGCUAACUACGUG
This 496-nucleotide ribosomal RNA is filed under the name uncultured bacterium. Its description in RNAcentral is "partial 16S ribosomal RNA". It matches the Rfam family "Bacterial small subunit ribosomal RNA", at positions 29 to 507 of the family's 1533-position model. The record is from RNAcentral.